UACGUGGGGGGCGAACGUUGUUCGGUGUCACUGGGCUUAAAGGGCGCGUAGGUGGCUGUGCAAGUAAGGUGUGAAAGCCCUCGGCUUACCCGGGGAAUUGCGCCUUAAACUGCAUGGCUUGAGGGAUUCAGGGGAAUGGGGAACUCCAGGUGUAGCGGUGAAAUGCGCAGAUAUCUGGGGGAAGGCCGGCGGCGAAGGCGAAUCUCUGGACAGUUACUGACACUGAGGCACGAAGGCCAGGGGAGCAAACGGG
RNAcentral lists this ribosomal RNA (253 nucleotides) under uncultured bacterium. RNAcentral's name for it is "partial 16S ribosomal RNA". It matches the Rfam family "Bacterial small subunit ribosomal RNA", at positions 524 to 776 of the family's 1533-position model. The record is from RNAcentral.